RNAcentral lists this transfer RNA (67 nucleotides) under Portunus sanguinolentus (three spot swimming crab). RNAcentral describes it as "tRNA-Glu". The record is from RNAcentral. Lineage: Eukaryota; Metazoa; Arthropoda; Malacostraca; Decapoda; Portunidae.
GUUUUUAUGGUGUAUUCAACACGUUACAUUUUCGUUGUAAAACUGAAAUGUCUUAUUUCUAAAAACU